This 506-nucleotide ribosomal RNA is filed under the name uncultured Bacteroidota bacterium. RNAcentral describes it as "bacterial SSU rRNA". It matches the Rfam family "Bacterial small subunit ribosomal RNA", at positions 903 to 1382 of the family's 1533-position model. Lineage: Bacteria; Pseudomonadati; Bacteroidota. The record is from RNAcentral.
UGCGCCUUGCCAGCCCGCUCAGAAACUCAAAGGAAUUGACGGGGGCCCGCACAAGCGGAGGAGCAUGUGGUUUAAUUCGAUGAUACGCGAGGAACCCUUACCUGGGCUUAAAUGCUUAAUGACGUACUGGGAAACUGGUAUUUCUUCGGACAUUUUGCAAGGUGCUGCAUGGUUGUCGUCAGCUCGUGCCGUGAGGUGUCGGGUUAAGUCCCAUAACGAGCGCAACCCCUAUUGUUAGUUGCCAUCAGGUCAUGCUGGGGACUCUAACAAAACUGCCCGCGUAAGCGUGGAGGAAGGUGGGGAUGACGUCAAAUCAGCACGGCCCUUACGUCCAGGGCUACACACGUGCUACAAUGGCCGGUACAGAGGGCAGCCACUUGGUGACAAGGAGCAAAUCUCAAAAGCCGGUCUCAGUUCGGAUCGGAGUCUGCAACUCGACUCCGUGAAGUUGGAUUCGCUAGUAAUCGUAGAUCAGCAAUGCUACGGUGAAUACGUUCCCGGGCCUU